Oreochromis aureus is the source of this 1140-nucleotide long non-coding RNA. RefSeq lists it as uncharacterized. Lineage: Eukaryota; Metazoa; Chordata; Actinopteri; Cichliformes; Cichlidae. The transcript is spliced from 3 exons. The record is from RefSeq and is a predicted model, not a curated record.
AGGUUAAUGUAACAUUAAAGCAUAUUAAAUGUUAGCCAAUUUCAUCUCUGUUCUGUCUGCUCAACUAUGGUCAGUAACCUUUUGGUGAGAAUCAGGUAGUCACAAGUUAAUGUCACUUUUGCUUCUUGGUUUCGUGUUCUAUAAAAAGCCUACUGUUUUACCUUUUCAUAGCUCUGGCUGUGUAAAGGUUGAUGUUAAGAGAACCCAGGUGGUAGUCUAAUCUAGAGCUGCACUAGAGAGAAUGGUAAUUGGAGACUGCAGCCAAACCAAAAUUGUUGCAACUGUGUGCAGUGUCCUUGACUUUGAAGUGGCUGCUUCAGAGACCGGGCCCAGGUCUGAGACCACAUGCGGAGGGAGGGUGAAUUGAUAAUUACAUAAAAUCUGGUUUUCAAUAAUACCACAAUUACCUGUGAUAGCUCUCAAAUCUACUGCUGUCUACAGUAGAUUUGAGAGUAGAUUACAUGAUGCUGUACCAGAGCCUGGGGCAGACUUAUUACCGGUGAACUGCACAGAACAGUGCAAACUUGUAGCACAAAAAUGAGCAAGUAAUGUACAAACAAAGUAGAGUGUAAGCGCAGCUUUUAGACGGGUUUUUAAAGUUUCUCUCUGAAAACAGAGGGCAAUUCAGCUAAACGAGACCGGGCUGAAGAAGACUCACUAUGUUUAUGUUUGCCGUCUGUGUUAAUGUGCUGUUACUGUGCCACAUGUGUAAAUGCAUGCAUCUGUCUGAGCUUCUCUGCAGUGUGUGAAACUGAAUUGGUGUUAUGCAACAGGGCUGCUGUCACACAUCCUGCAGUUAGAAACUGAAUGCAUCGCUCAACAAAUGUUACGCACACGAUUUGUGGUGCAGCUGCUAUGACGUGCCGGUAAGAGCAGCUAGACUUCUCAAUUAAAAGACCUUGGCAGUGCUGCUGACAUAUUUGUGCGUGUAUUCAUUCACAAAGAUGUUGACCCCAGCGUCGACCAUGGCCCUCUGCAGGUCCGAGCCACUCAUCCACUUUCCUAUGAGUGCUCUUGCUGUCUUACCUGAAUAGUGAUGCUGAUGUUCAUGAACGCCCCGUUGACAGUGUAGAGAGCAGAGUCCUGGCCCAGUGGCCGGAGCUCCCAGCUCUGAAAAGGAAGGUUGGCAUAGGUUUUCUG